Molecule: ribosomal RNA, 253 nt
Filed under: uncultured bacterium
Lineage: Bacteria
Description: partial 16S ribosomal RNA
Rfam family: Bacterial small subunit ribosomal RNA
Source: RNAcentral
UACGUAGGGGGCAAGCGUUGUCCGGAAUUAUUGGGCGUAAAGCGCGCGCAGGCGGUCCGUUAAGUCGGAUGUGAAAGCCCACGGCUCAACCGUGGAGGGUCAUUGGAAACUGGGGGACUUGAGUGCAGAAGAGGAAAGCGGAAUUCCACGUGUAGCGGUGAAAUGCGUAGAGAUGUGGAGGAACACCAGUGGCGAAGGCGGCUUUCUGGUCUGUAACUGACGCUGAGGCGCGAAAGCGUGGGGAGCAAACAGG